Molecule: ribosomal RNA, 1372 nt
Filed under: uncultured bacterium
Lineage: Bacteria
Description: bacterial SSU rRNA
Rfam family: Bacterial small subunit ribosomal RNA
Source: RNAcentral
GAUGAACGCUGGCGGCGUGCCUAAUACAUGCAAGUCGAGCGAACGGACGAGAAGCUUGCUUCUCUGAUGUUAGCGGCGGACGGGUGAGUAACACGUGGAUAACCUACCUAUAAGACUGGGAUAACUUCGGGAAACCGGAGCUAAUACCGGAUAAUAUUUUGAACCGCAUGGUUCAAAAGUGAAAGACGGUCUUGCUGUCACUUAUAGAUGGAUCCGCGCUGCAUUAGCUAGUUGGUAAGGUAACGGCUUACCAAGGCAACGAUGCAUAGCCGACCUGAGAGGGUGAUCGGCCACACUGGAACUGAGACACGGUCCAGACUCCUACGGGAGGCAGCAGUAGGGAAUCUUCCGCAAUGGGCGAAAGCCUGACGGAGCAACGCCGCGUGAGUGAUGAAGGUCUUCGGAUCGUAAAACUCUGUUAUUAGGGAAGAACAUAUGUGUAAGUAACUGUGCACAUCUUGACGGUACCUAAUCAGAAAGCCACGGCUAACUACGUGCCAGCAGCCGCGGUAAUACGUAGGUGGCAAGCGUUAUCCGGAAUUAUUGGGCGUAAAGCGCGCGUAGGCGGUUUUUUAAGUCUGAUGUGAAAGCCCACGGCUCAACCGUGGAGGGUCAUUGGAAACUGGAAAACUUGAGUGCAGAAGAGGAAAGUGGAAUUCCAUGUGUAGCGGUGAAAUGCGCAGAGAUAUGGAGGAACACCAGUGGCGAAGGCGACUUUCUGGUCUGUAACUGACGCUGAUGUGCGAAAGCGUGGGGAUCAAACAGGAUUAGAUACCCUGGUAGUCCACGCCGUAAACGAUGAGUGCUAAGUGUUAGGGGGUUUCCGCCCCUUAGUGCUGCAGCUAACGCAUUAAGCACUCCGCCUGGGGAGUACGACCGCAAGGUUGAAACUCAAAGGAAUUGACGGGGACCUGCACAAGCGGUGGAGCAUGUGGUUUAAUUCGAAGCAACGCGAAGAACCUUACCAAAUCUUGACAUCCUUUGACAACUCUAGAGAUAGAGCUUUCCCCUUCGGGGGACAAAGUGACAGGUGGUGCAUGGUUGUCGUCAGCUCGUGUCGUGAGAUGUUGGGUUAAGUCCCGCAACGAGCGCAACCCUUAAGCUUAGUUGCCAUCAUUAAGUUGGGCACUCUAAGUUGACUGCCGGUGACAAACCGGAGGAAGGUGGGGAUGACGUCAAAUCAUCAUGCCCCUUAUGAUUUGGGCUACACACGUGCUACAAUGGACAAUACAAAGGGCAGCGAAACCGCGAGGUCAAGCAAAUCCCAUAAAGUUGUUCUCAGUUCGGAUUGUAGUCUGCAACUCGACUACAUGAAGCUGGAAUCGCUAGUAAUCGUAGAUCAGCAUGCUACGGUGAAUACGUUCCCGGGUCU